AGAAAGGUUUUUUUCUUUUUUAAUGGGCCAAUAAAGAGAAUGAAAAGCACAUUGUUGGUGUUUUGGAGAACUUUUACCUGACAAAGCUGUAAAUAUUUUGCAGAAGCAUUUUACCCUAAUGUUAAGAACAAAGCCGAUGCCCACUUUGGAGCUUUGAAGAGGAUCUGGAAUCCAAACAAGAGGUUGCCCAACAGUUGGAUAGUCUUAGAUUGGAGUCAUCGGACAGGUCAUUUCUGCCCAUGGAUUAUAGGAAGGUUUCCCAAUGACCAAACCAGAAGACUUCCUUUA
Molecule: long non-coding RNA, 288 nt
Organism: Telopea speciosissima
Lineage: Eukaryota; Viridiplantae; Streptophyta; Magnoliopsida; Proteales; Proteaceae
Exons: 3
Source: RefSeq, a predicted model, not a curated record